GUCAAUAUAUUGGAAAAAUUUGGGGAGAGUUGUAACAAUUUGAAAAAACUCACAGAUGAACUGUGUAAUCAUAGAAAUACCCGCCCCCCCGAAAUUAAGAAAAAGUUAGGUAUGUCAUGAAUAUAUGUAGAUAUAUAAAGAACACACAAAAUAUAUGUUAACUGACUCUUUGACAGGUAAAGCUUCCACUCCACAGCAGGCUAUUAGUAAAGCUUUGGGGGAGUCAAAAGUUAUCCUUGAAUUUUUGGCUGUGGAGGCGGGGGUUGGGGCCACGAACCGCUGCACUGUUCAAGGGUCAGCUGUAGAAUCGUAAGUUGGACGCACUCUAAGGACAGCACAAAAAGUACAAAGUUAAACUUCCCUUCGCAGUUGCAGCAUUUGUAAUGAUAUAAAUAAUGUAAAUGUUGUAAUUUUAAAACUGUACUCCGACAUUUAUAGGUUAAAUAAGAAAGAUUUUUUUUUUUCUUUUUUGUCUUUUUAGGACCACACCCAUGACAUAUGGAAGAUCCCAGGCUAGGGGUAGAAUCAGAGCUGCAGCUGCCAGCUUACACCACAGCCACGGCAACACCAGAUCCGAGCCAUGUCUGUGACCUACACCACAGCUCACACUAAGCGAAGCCGGGGGUGGAACCCAUGUCCUAAUGGAUCCUAGUCAGGUUCAUUACUGCUGAGCCACAACGGGAACUCCUUGCUUUUUUUAAAUUGGCAACUAUUUUACUAGCUACUUUCUAGCUGCAAAGUCACCCAUCAGAAAAUCGCAAGUUGAAUGGCUUUGCCCAUCAUAACUUUUGCCUUUUCCAUUGGCUUUAAACCAGAGAUGGAGGAAUAUGGGCUGCAAGUGUGACCUGCAGUCACUCUCAUCAACACCUUGCUUACUCAUGGCAGAGAACCUGGAAAACAGGUACCGCUUUCGCUGAUUCAGAACCUCUCGAGCAUUUGACAAACCGUCCUUCCUAAACCUGGCCGAGCCCAUAUUACACCAAAUUGUCAAUUCGUCCAUGCACUACAUCCUUUGGGGAGUAAUUUGACUCUUUUUUUUUUUAAUGACUUAUGUCAGCUGCAUCCUGUCUGUCGGAUCUGUUAAGUAAAAUAACGAAACAAGGCUCUUAGCCGCAAGGAGAGAGGUGAAAUGCAAAGCGAUCGCGAAGAUUCCAAGGGUCAAGCAGAAGACUGGCAUUGCUGGGCCAAGGGAUGGUUAGACACAAGCACGUACAAGAAAAAUAAAGGCUCACAUGCACAGGGGCGAGCACGCCCACGAUGAGUCACCUGUCCAGGGCUGCUGUGAUGCAAGUUAUUACUUAGAUGUAUUAAAGGGAAGAGUCAAUUCCACAGGUACAUAUGAAGCACCUACUAGGUGUGAGGAACUGCACAGCUACGGAGGGGGACACAAAGAUGACUCGGAUGUGGUUCUCGCCCUCCAGGGGCUCACAAUGAGGCAAGCACCUUGAAGGCGUUUUUCUUGUGCAUGGUGGACUAAUGAGGCCAUGAUUACAGGACUGUAUUCAAUUUUGACCACUACCACUUCUUUUUCAAUGCAAGAAACCAGAGAGAUUUGAGAGGCAGAGGACACAAGAUAGGCUCUGGGAGGAGAAAGCUAGAGACUUAGUUAUUAUCUUCGAGAAUAUGAAAGUUUACUUUUUUUUAUUGUUAUUUUUUUGCUUUUAAGGGCUGCGCCUGUGGCAUAUGGUAGUUAGUUCCCAGAACAGGGGUCGAAUCAGAGCUAUAGCUGCCGGCCACAGCCACAGCCACAGCCACAGCCACAUGGAAUCUGAGCCAUGCCUGCGACCUACACCACGGUUCACAGCAAUG
Molecule: long non-coding RNA, 1809 nt
Filed under: Sus scrofa (pig)
Lineage: Eukaryota; Metazoa; Chordata; Mammalia; Artiodactyla; Suidae
Description: lncRNA (ENSSSCG00055019289.1)
Source: RNAcentral